AGUGAACGCUGGCGGUAGGCCUAACACAUGCAAGUCGAACGGCAGCACAGUAAGAGCUUGCUCUUACGGGUGGCGAGUGGCGGACGGGUGAGGAAUACAUCGGAAUCUACUUUUUCGUGGGGGAUAACGUAGGGAAACUUACGCUAAUACCGCAUACGACCUACGGGUGAAAGCAGGGGAUCUUCGGACCUUGCGCGAUUGAAUGAGCCGAUGUCGGAUUAGCUAGUUGGCGGGGUAAAGGCCCACCAAGGCGACGAUCCGUAGCUGGUCUGAGAGGAUGGUCAGCCACACUGGAACUGAGACACGGUCCAGACUCCUACGGGAGGCAGCAGUGGGGAAUAUUGGACAAUGGGGGCAAGCCUGACACAGCCAUACCGCGUGGGUGAAGAAGGCCUUCGGGUUGUAAAGCCCUUUUGUUGGGAAAGAAAAGCAGCAGGUUAAUACCCCGCUGUUCUGACGGUACCCAAAGAAUAAGCACCGGCUAACUUCGUG
Molecule: ribosomal RNA, 492 nt
Filed under: uncultured bacterium
Lineage: Bacteria
Description: partial 16S ribosomal RNA
Rfam family: Bacterial small subunit ribosomal RNA
Source: RNAcentral